This 82-nucleotide transfer RNA is filed under the name Candidatus Woesearchaeota archaeon. Its description in RNAcentral is "tRNA-Ser". It matches the Rfam family "tRNA". Rfam says of the family: Transfer RNA (tRNA) molecules are approximately 80 nucleotides in length. Their secondary structure includes four short double-helical elements and three loops (D, anti-codon, and T loops). Further hydrogen bonds mediate the characteristic L-shaped molecular structure. tRNAs have two regions of fundamental functional importance: the anti-codon, which is responsible for specific mRNA codon recognition, and the 3' end, to which the tRNAs corresponding amino acid is attached (by aminoacyl-tRNA synthetases). tRNAs cope with the degeneracy of the genetic code in two manners: having more than one tRNA (with a specific anti-codon) for a particular amino acid; and 'wobble' base-pairing, i.e. permitting non-standard base-pairing at the 3rd anti-codon position. Lineage: Archaea; Nanobdellati; Candidatus Woesearchaeota. The record is from RNAcentral.
GCCGGCAUCGCAUAACCUGGUAGUGCGGCGGUCUCGAAAACCGCUGUCGCAAGACCUGCAGGUUCAAAUCCUGCUGCCGGCG